Molecule: ribosomal RNA, 165 nt
Filed under: uncultured bacterium
Lineage: Bacteria
Description: partial 16S ribosomal RNA
Rfam family: Bacterial small subunit ribosomal RNA
Source: RNAcentral
UAGGGAAUCUUCCACAAUGGACGAAAGUCUGAUGGAGCAACGCCGCGUGAGUGAAGAAGGGUUUCGGCUCGUAAAGCUCUUGUUGGUAGUGAAGAAAGAUAGAGGUAGUUAACUGGCCUUUUAUUUGACGGUAAUUACUUAGAAAGUCACGGCUAACUACGUGCC